GUAACUCAUUCAGGUUUCCUUCUACAGUGUGAAAUGUGUCAGUCUUUUGCUGUUUGGGUCCACACUGUUUUUAUGAGCUGUAACAUUCACCGCGAAAGUCUCCAGCUUCUCACCUAAAGGCGAUGAAACAACAAGCUCACCAGGAGAAACAAACAGCGCAGGACACGCCGCCUUAAGAGCUAUAAUCCUCACCACGAAGGUCUGCAGCUUCACUCCUGAGCUAGCGAGACCAAGAACCCACCUGAAGGAAAAAACUCCGAACACAUCUUAACGUCAAGAAGGAACGAACUCCCGACGCGCCACCUUAAGAGCUGUAACACCACCAGGGUCUGUGGCUUCAUUCUUGAAGUCAGUGAGACCAAGAGCCCACCGAUUCCAGACACAAUAGGGCUGAGGGCGGUGGCUCAGGUCUGUAAUCCCAGCACUUCGGAAGGCCAAGGCAGGCAGAUCGUUUGAGGUCAGGAGUUCGUGACCAGCCUGGGCAACAUAGAGAAACCUAAAUGUCUCUCCUAAACGUGUCUUUACUAAAAAUACAAGAAUUAGUGGGGUGUAGUGGUGCUGCACACUGUGGUCUCAGCUACUGCAGAGGUUCAGGUGGGAGGAUCACCUGAGCCUGGGAAGUUGGGACUGCAGUGAGUCUGGGAGACAGAGGGAGACCCUGUCUAAAAAAAAAAAAAAAAAAAAUUUAGCAGUACAGUUACAAGGUCAAAGGAUAUGGUACAUUUUUAGAAAGUUUUUAUUAUCUUUCUGCUCCUGAGAUACAGUAGUGUAUGAACAACUCUUCAUACGUUACUCUCCAAGGUUUAUCUUGUUAAUCCUUUAAGACGUAUCAUCUCCCUAUCCUUGGCUGCACCUGAAAAGAGCGGGACUCUGCAGGUAACCCGAUCUUCUCCACCAGGUGAGUCCCGGAUGGAGGUGUCAACUACAAGACCAGGAACAGAGCACUCCUGGGGCUUUGCUGGAACCAUCGGCGUGGGAAUGCUGUCUCUUCCCUCGCCCGAAAUACGCCACGUUCCCGGCGGGUAGCAGACUCGGUUCUAAUCUUCCUCGCCCCAGCCUCUUGGAGCGCCCUGCACGCUGUGGGCGUCUAAUAAAUGCAGUCGGCCCUGCUUGGCCUAAAACUCUCCCUUGAGUGGACCGGACACUAAACCUCUCCAGGUGUCACAGCUGCCGCUCCCGCCGCCACUUUGCUCCUUGCCUGCUCCCUCCCCGCGUUCCGCCUGGGACUCUCGGCGGCAGCUCACACCUUCCCUGAGUGCCGGUGCCCGCCCGCCGGCCCCGACCCCCUGACCCCACCGGCCCCGCCUCCCAUCUCCCCCCACCUCGCCCCCCGGAGCCGACAAAUGGCCGCGGCGGCCCCAGGUCCGGGGUCACUCAGACAAGAGGGCGGGUGGAGGAGGAAGCGGCCAAGUCCACAGUCCUGCUCCGGUGCCGCCGAGCACCGCCCACCUCAGCUGACCAGCCCUGUCCGCUACUGGGCCUCGCCUAGAGGAGGGAAAGGCCGCGGCGUUCGCUCCCUCUGCGGCUCAUGGCGACGACGCUUGGCACAUCCGGGACCCUCAGGCCGCUGCGGUCGCGUCGCCGGCUGCUCGGGCCCCAGCCCCGGCCGCUGUGGUGACUCCGCCGCGCCUCGCCGUCGCCCCCGUCCCGCCCGCCGCCCCAGCCGCCAGGGACAUGUCUAACCUCGGAGGCGUUAGGAACGGGCCUGUCGAAGUGUGCCUGACAGGAAUCAUAUUGACAGGUCAUGAAAAUGAGACCAAAAGAUCUCUGGAAGCAAUUAACGAUAAAAUUUCAUGGAGAAGAAGGCCUUGACUAUGGAGGGGUUACCAGGGUGAUGACAACUCCGUGAGGGUGGAGAUUAUACAUCUCUCAUCAUUUCAGCAACAAGGAAAUAAAUUAGUGGCAGAGUAAGGGUGACUUGAGAUCUCCUGGAAGUGAGGAUCCUUUAAAAAUCCUGGAAUAUACACUGCAGUAAAAGAACAAAGCAUACCUCAGCCUUAAACGACUGAAGAAGAAUGUGAAGUGGGGAAGUGGCUUUGGUUUUCAGUUUGUGGGUUCUGAAUCCACACAAAGACAGGAUUGCUUUCUGAAAACCUGAAUUAAUUAUUGUCCUUACCUCAAUAAGACAAAAAAUUAUAAUCAAAAUCGUUAAUAUUACAGUCACAGAUAUCGCCAAGAUGAGUUUGUUGUUAUAGCCAUAUCCUGGAACUUCUUUCGUGAGCUUAAAAAAAAAAAAAAAAGAACAAUUAAAAAAAGAGUGAAAGCUAACUUUUCAAAACCCCAGUAUUCCAGUUGAGUAGCUUACAGGUUCUUUUUUUUUUUUUUUGAGACAGGGUCUCACUCUGUCACCCAGGCUGGAGUACAGUGGUGUGAUCACAGUUCACUGGAGACUCGACCUCCCCGGGCUCAGGUGAUCCUCCCACCUCAGCCUCUCGAGUAGCUGGAAUUAUAGGCACAAGUCACCACACCCAGCUAAUUUUCGUAUUUUUUGUGAAGAUAGGGUUUCACUAUAUUGGCCAAGCUGGUCUCAAACUUCUCUGACUUCAAGUGAUCUACCCACCUCGGCCUCCCAAAGUGCUGGGUUUACAGGCGUGAGCUACCCUGUGCACUAAUCUGUUUCACUCUCUAAAUGAACAAAGUGGGAGAUCACUGUCAUGGCCAAAGUUACAUGGCCAAGACAACCUAUGGCCUGGGAGUCCCAGGUUCUCCUGUGUGGGCACUUACCUGGCAUAUACUAAAUGAUGGGAAAGUCUGGGUCUCAUGUUUCUGUGUGGUCCUCACCUCACUCGACUUCUGCUCUUUCUGUUCACUCUGGGCUUCCGUGCUCUCAUUGAUACAGUUCUUAGUUUUCCACUGGUCCGUAUCCCAUUCUGCCUUGGACGCCUUUAUUUCCUGCUGCUCACUGAGAAGCUUCAUCAGGAGGCCUGUCCUGGAGAUGAGCUUGGCACAGGUCACUUGCACAUAGGUCUCGGAGCAGUCCGUCUUCAAGGUCCAGAUAACAUGAGAAAUGAAGCUUCUCACAUCGUUGUUGGGGAUGACGGACUGUAGUUGAUGGGUUAGUGGAAUUUCAAACUGAUCACCUGGGGAUGAGAGCAAUGGGUAAUUGAAGCUUUUGGGCUCGGGGGACAGGUCAGUGCCCACGUUGCUGUAUUCCCAUUUUGUCUCAGUUUGUUUAACAGUUGGCUCUAAGUUGAAUGCAGUCCUAGUGGGAAUCUGCCUCAGGAAGAUGAUUGUAGUUUGUGUUUUCAGAGAUGGUGCCUUCUGGCAUAGUAGUGUUUUCCGUAAAAACGUUUUCUUCAGAGGCAUUUCUUGCAGUUGUGUUUUUUACAGUAGUGUUUUCUAUAAAACGUUCUGAAGGAGCAGAUACUUCCGGAAAAGGGUUUUCUUGAGGACUCAGGUCUCCUGAGGAUGAAAAAGCCCCUUGUGAAGGGGAAUUUAUGAGGCUCUUCACUGCAGAGAAUGGCGGCCUCUUUGCGAGCAUCAGUCUAUUGAGAGAACUUUUCUUUCUCAAUUUUUUAAUCUUUUUGGCCUUGGGUGUUCUGUGGGCCACACGGGAGUGAGUUUUAUGAAAGUGGUAUUUUUUUCUGGAAUGUACGGCUCGUUUAGCAGCCUUCAUAUUUUUUAACUUUAGCCUUUGCAUUUUCUAAAAUUAAAAUGGUGUAGGCUAAGUCUUUCGAUCUCUCUCUGACCUGAGGUAGGGCUUUUGCAGUUGUGGAAGGCAGAAGGCAUGCCCAUGGAGAAGGGUUUCAGCAAAGAGGAGACUGUUGGCUUCUGCUCUUGGGUGAAUGAAGGCUUGGUGUAGAUGGCGUUUCCCGCUACGUUCUCGGGCCCCUGCACUAUGUGAGGCUAUUCCAGCUCCCUUGGGGCUGGACUCCCGAGCCUUUUUUCCUUGGCAGCAUUCUCCCCAAAUGCCUGGGCACCCUGUUCCCUCCUGAUACUCUGCUUUCCCACCUCUUUGAAGGGCCUUUUCUGGAUGCUCCUUGGGCCCAUGAGCACUCUGUUCACUCUCUGCAGGUUUUUGCCUACACUUUGAACCUUUGCCAGGCUGUUUUCCUGUGGUUGGACAGUUUCUAAUUUCUUUUCAAAUAUUUGGCAUUUAAAUUUGUUACCUAGAAGGCUGGACUGCAUAAGCAUGGCAGUUUUUUCUUCCCUUUUAACUUCAUCGAUUUUUUCUUGUAUUUCUGCAUCUAACAUCUUUUCUAGCAAAUACACCUUUCUCAAUUUAUUUUCAUAAGUUGAAUUGUUGGAUGCAGGUUGAAACAAGGGGCUCUUUGUAUUGUUUUUCAAAACAGGAGCCUAUCUCCAUCUUGCACAUUUGAAAAAAGCAGUUUAAUGAAUGGUAACAACAUUGAUUCCGCAUCUAGAUUUCCUUCUGAGAAAUAAGGCAAGAUGUAACUUAGCGCAGUGAUAACAUCACUCUUAUCAUAAGUGUCUAGCUGCUCACUCCCAAAGACUGACAAGUUGAUGCCACUGCUGUCUGAGGCUGCCUCCGGCUCAGUAGUCAGCUCAAUGCUCAUGUGCUUCUUCCGGGCUUGUAACACCUUCAUGAACACUCUUUCUGGAUUCCCUACAGAUGCUUCUUCACCUGUAAAAAAAAAAAGAGACUGCUUUGAUCAUGAAAGAUAAUGGGACGGCAUGCAUCAGUCCACAGCUGUAUGCCCCAGCAAACAUUAGAGUGCUAUUCAGAGAGGAGAAACACACACCCAAUCCUAAACCUAUGAAAUGGCAACAACAAAAGGAGGAAAAGACAUCUUUUGAAAAUAUGGCUACCUACUUGGAACAUUGCUAGUGUGACAUAGAGUAACUCUGCUUAGGAUUAUUUCGUUGAUCCCCAGGGGCCAAUUGCCCAGUGCUCAGUCAAAGCCCAAGGUGGAAGACAAGUGCUUCCCUGAUGAGCUGAUAAGCUGUCCUCUCUGCAGAUUGCUCCGUACCCUGUGCUGUCCUGCCUCAGAUGCAGAGAGAGCACAAGGCUCCCUCCUCAUCCUCAGUGUGCCUGUGUUCUUGCUACCAUCACAGCUGAAUGCAAUGAAAGGCUAUCCUCUGAGAGGAGCAGGGGCAGGGUGGGGAUGCUAAAGUGGAGGCCCCCUCCCAUUGCUGAUAGAUCCUCAUCUGGCAUGCACUCCACCCACCCACCCCAUUCUCUGCUACCACAUAUCGUAGCCCCAUCAAAGAAGACGCGACACGGAAAAAACACUGUGCCCACCCUAGUCCUUUUAUUAAAUUUGGGCAGAGAUCCAGGGUAUAGGUUAAGAGAUUUUUAAUUUGCCAGAUGGUAUGCCUAUGUUGUUAAAUAUAUAAUGAAUCUAUGGUAUGAUAGCAGUUUCUGGAUAAACAUUACUUGAGGUCCUAAAAUGCAGAAGGGAAAAAGCAGCUUUUGUCAGAUGCCUACUUUGCUUUCAUUUCAUCUCUAAUAUUUUGGAUGGGGAACCAUCCAAAGCUUCUGGCCGCAUGAAGGUCAAGUGUGCUGGUGUGCAGAUGGGUUUCUUUUCCAGAAUUAAAAGUAUUUUGGGUGGUGCUGAGGGUCAGAGGAAGAAGUAAAAAUUGUGAGAAAGGAGAAACAUGGGCUUGGGGAGAACCCAGAAUUGGGGACAGAAGACCUGGCACUAAGCUAUAGCACUUAGCACCUCUGAUCUUGUUUUUCCUCAUCUGUAAAAGGAGAUUAACAUUGCUUUUCUGCCCACCUCUUGGGGAGAAGGGAAUAAUUUAGUUGGUAAAAAAAAAAAAUGUUUUGAAAAAUAAGCAACUCUGUCUUUAUAUAAGUAGCCAAGUGUUAUUAAUUAUCCACCCCAUAUCACUGGUAGAUACCUGUAUUCAAGCUAUGUGGACAUAAAAGCAGUCACAUUUUAGAAGUCAUGAAGUUGGUGCUAAUAAACCUAAUCUACAGAAAAA
This is a long non-coding RNA of Gorilla gorilla gorilla (western lowland gorilla), 5889 nucleotides long. RefSeq lists it as uncharacterized. NCBI's taxonomy places the organism in Eukaryota, Metazoa, Chordata, Mammalia, Primates, Hominidae. The transcript is spliced from 4 exons. The record is from RefSeq and is a predicted model, not a curated record.